GAUGAACGCUGGCGGCGUGCUUAACACAUGCAAGUCGAACGAUGAAGCCCAGCUUGCUGGGUGGAUUAGUGGCGAACGGGUGAGUAACACGUGAGUACCCUGCCCUUAACUCUGGGAUAAGCCUGGGAAACUGGGUCUAAUACCGGAUAGGAGCGUCCACCGCAUGGUGGGUGUUGGAAAGAUUUAUCGGUUUUGGAUGGACUCGCGGCCUAUCAGCUUGUUGGUGAGGUAAUGGCUCACCAAGGCGACGACGGGUAGCCGGCCUGAGAGGGUGACCGGCCACACUGGGCCUGAGACACGGCCCAGACUCCUACGGGAGGCAGCGGUGGGGAAUAUUGCACAGUGGGCGCGAGCCUGAUGCAGCGGCGCCGCGUGUGGGAUGACGGCCUUCGGGUUGUAAACCUCUUUCGGUAGGGAAGAAGCGAGAGUGACGGUACCUGAAGAAGAAGCACCGGCUAACUACGUG
RNAcentral lists this ribosomal RNA (466 nucleotides) under uncultured bacterium. RNAcentral's name for it is "partial 16S ribosomal RNA". It matches the Rfam family "Bacterial small subunit ribosomal RNA", at positions 28 to 507 of the family's 1533-position model. The record is from RNAcentral.